This 992-nucleotide long non-coding RNA is filed under the name Coffea arabica (coffee). RNAcentral describes it as "long non-coding RNA (CARA_LNC000250)". The record is from RNAcentral. Lineage: Eukaryota; Viridiplantae; Streptophyta; Magnoliopsida; Gentianales; Rubiaceae.
CAAUGUUUGUAAUUAACCAAAGCGAGUUGCAAUAGCCAUCAAUCGAUAAUUUUAUUAUGCCAAAAGUUUCAAGAUUUCCUUUUUGCUUACAAGUUUCAAGAUUUGCUUUUUGCUUACAACCCAUCACUUUCAUUUUGUCAACAACAAAAUAAUUACAUCUUCCAAAGCAGUAGAUCAUCCAAAUAAAAAAACACAUGUAAAACAAGCAUCUCCCAAUAUUGCGAUGGCUUAAGACUCGUCACUUCUUGCAGGUUCUUCAAUUUUCCUCCCAUUAUUUUUCAACGUACAAACCAAAAUUUUCCCAAUCCAUAUUGAGCAUUAUAAUUAGCACAAAGUAAAAAGGCUAGCAACUUUAAUACCUUCCCUUAAUUAUUGAUAAAUCGCUCGAACCACAAUUCUAGCAAAAACUAAACUCCAACGAAAUAAUUCCUCAUUAUUUAACUCCAUUCAAAUAAUCCCUUAAAAAAAUCAAAACUUUCAACUGAAAAUGCCAAAAUUGAGGUAAACAUAUAACCAACAGUGCCAAAAUUUCUUAAUUGCUCAACCAUUUCUCCCAUUUUCUACUAUAUCCACGUCAACAUAAACUAGAAAUCAAGCUUUAGCCACACAACCAACAGCAUAAAAGCAAAAAAAUAAAAAAAAAAUAAAAGAGAGAAAAGAUCAACGAACUUGGCGAUCAGUCAUAUUGGCAAUGUGAGCAGGUCAAGAAGCUCAGACAAAAGUCACAGCUUGACCCAUUAAGCUCGAAUCGGAGCCGUUUCGGAGAAGACAGUAAGACGAAGUCUAGGGUUUGUUCUCUGGACAAGAAGACAGUGCCAGACGUCAUCGUUUCUAGGAGACAUGAAAAGCUUAAAAUUAGCGAGAAAGGGCUCACAUACGUAUAAAUGUACAUGAAUAUAGAGAGAGAUAGAGAGAGAGAGAGAGCUGGUGUGUGAGUGUGUUUUUUUGAGAGAGAGAGAGUUUUAGGGUUGUGGGUUUCUGCAAAAAUUGAG